Molecule: long non-coding RNA, 344 nt
Organism: Bombus pascuorum
Lineage: Eukaryota; Metazoa; Arthropoda; Insecta; Hymenoptera; Apidae
Exons: 2
Source: RefSeq, a predicted model, not a curated record
AUUAUUUUUUAAGAGAGUUUUUUAAUACAUAUGUUUUAAGAAUAGUGAAUAUUAGAAAAGAAUUCUUUUGACUAGAGACACGAUGGAAAACCCGCCGCGUACUACUUCGUCGUUGCAGCUCGAGAGUCGACGAUGCACUGAGCCACUAGGCAGGGAGGGAGAAACGAAAAUGCCUGCAGCGGCCAAGCACGGAACAACUCAUGGGUGCCGCACAAGGAGGCCGGCGGCCGGUUACGAACAAAGAACAAGGAGAACGGAGGAAAACUUGUUUGCUCGUGUCAGAUCCUGUAGCGAAUCGCUCAAAGUAAUGUUAAAAAUAUAGCAUGUAAAGUUCGACGUAAAAA